ACGAACGCUGGCGGCGUGCUUAACACAUGCCAGUCGAACGGGCCCGCUCUCUUUUUUGGGGGUGGGUUGAGUGGCGAACGGGUGAGUAUCACGUGAGUAACCUGCCCCCUGCUCCUGGAUAACUGCUUGAAAGGGCGGCUAAUACGGGGUGUGCCGGCUGGUCCGCAUGGGCCUGGUCGGGAUAGUUUCAUCUUCGGGUGUUUCGGUGGGGGAUGGGCUCGCGGCCUAUCAGCUUGUUGGUGGGGUGAUGGCCCACCAAGGCGGUGACGGGUAGCCGGCCUGAGAGGGUGGGCGGCCACACUGGGACUGAGACACGGCCCAGACUCCUGCGGGAGGCAGCAGUGGGGGGUAUUGCACAAUGGGCGGAAGCCUGAUGCAGCGACGUCGCGUGAGGGAUGGAGGCCUUCGGGUUGUGAACCUCUUUCUCCGGCGGUGAAGGCCCUGUCCGUUGCGGCGGGGUUGACGGUAGCCGGGUAUGAAGCGCCGGCUAACUACGUG
Molecule: ribosomal RNA, 498 nt
Filed under: uncultured bacterium
Lineage: Bacteria
Description: partial 16S ribosomal RNA
Rfam family: Bacterial small subunit ribosomal RNA
Source: RNAcentral